RNAcentral lists this non-coding RNA (86 nucleotides) under Alicyclobacillus acidocaldarius. RNAcentral's name for it is "c-di-GMP sequence". It matches the Rfam family "c-di-GMP-I riboswitch aptamer". From Rfam's summary of the family: GEMM was predicted in a large-scale screen for bacterial structured RNA regulatory elements. Genes associated with GEMM are involved in a diverse array of functions, including chemotaxis regulation, signal transduction, secretion and chitin. The record is from RNAcentral. Lineage: Bacteria; Bacillati; Bacillota; Bacilli; Caryophanales; Alicyclobacillaceae. RNAcentral also lists the same sequence under 1 other name.
UGUUGGCAAGGGCAAACCCGUCCGAAAGGCGGGGGCGCAAAGCCACGGGUCUACGGACGAAAGUCUAUGGCAGCCGGGCUGCCGGA